RNAcentral lists this small RNA (383 nucleotides) under Histoplasma ohiense. RNAcentral describes it as "hypothetical lncRNA". Lineage: Eukaryota; Fungi; Ascomycota; Eurotiomycetes; Onygenales; Ajellomycetaceae. The record is from RNAcentral.
UAGUGGGUAAUUUGGGUGGGGUAAGCCUAUGGUUAGUCCCUUACACGGGGCAAGGCCACGACGGCCGGUUGGUAGGCCAAGGGGGCAAUGGGCCGAGAUCGGCAACUGGAAGCUCUGGGCUAUGGUGAUGUCUAGGGUGGGCAGUGGCGCUUAACUAGGACCCCCGCUGGAAACCCCAGAACUAGUUAAAGCGGCCCGAGAGGACGGACGCGGUGGUCGGUUGGUUAUAGGGGUAAAUGUAACUAGCUUAAGGUGCAUCCUGCGUGGAGUAGCCACGUAGUCUUAUAGAGUGAUAUCUCUGCUGAAUUGCCUGGGAAAAAUUCUGGAAAAGAUAAUUGCAACUAGAUUGUCUUUUCUAUCUGCUACUACUGAUCUAUUAUAUG